Molecule: ribosomal RNA, 492 nt
Filed under: uncultured bacterium
Lineage: Bacteria
Description: partial 16S ribosomal RNA
Rfam family: Bacterial small subunit ribosomal RNA
Source: RNAcentral
AGUGAACGCUGGCGGUAGGCCUAACACAUGCAAGUCGAACGGCAGCACAGUAAGAGCUUGCUCUUACGGGUGGCGAGUGGCGGACGGGUGAGGAAUACAUCGGAAUCUACUUUUUCGUGGGGGAUAACGUAGGGAAACUUACGCUAAUACCGCAUACGACCUACGGGUGAAAGCAGGGGAUCUUCGGACCUUGCGCGAUUGAAUGAGCCGAUGUCGGAUUAGCUAGUUGGCGGGGUAAAGGCCCACCAAGGCGACGAUCCGUAGCUGGUCUGAGAGGAUGAUCAGCCACACUGGAACUGAGACACGGUCCAGACUCCUACGGGAGGCAGCAGUGGGGAAUAUUGGACAAUGGGCGCAAGCCUGAUCCAGCCAAACCGCGUGGGUGAAGAAGGCCUUCGGGUUGUAAAGCCCUUUUGUUGGGAAAGAAAAGCAGCAGGUUAAUACCCCGCUGUUCUGACGGUACCCAAAGAAUAAGCACCGGCUAACUUCGUG